CCUCACCAUUUUACUCUCUGCUUUACAAAGAAAUUCCGUCUCACUUCUUCUAUAACCAAAAUACCACCGCCAUGAGCCAAGAUUGAGAGAACAAUAUCAACAUAUACCAUUUUCUCUUCCAUCAUUCGCUGAAAACCAGCUGCAAUUUCAAAGUUAUUGUUUGCAAAAAGCUUGCGUUUUGACCUAAUUCGAGAUUUGGGUUCUUAGAUCGAUGCAGUAUGACACAACUGACAUCAGUAUCUUCUUCCUUCUCUUAUUCUUAUGGUAGUUUUAUUGGUGAUUUGGCGUUGGUUAGUUGUAGGAGAGAAGGAAGCGGUGGUGGGGUGGAGGAGGAGGUGGAUGUGGGAAUUCAAGAGUCGAGGUGGUGGUGGAGGAGAUCGGGGAUGGGGUCUUGGUGGAGAAGGUCAUUGAGGUGUUAGAAGAAGGGAUGGUGAUUUUCUGCAGGAUACUAUGCUCGGCUGCUCUCAUGAACAUAUGGGGCUGUUUCAUCUCCAGCCUUUGCGGAGAUUGGUUUAUUGCUGGGAUAAAAGCUAUUAGCGGAGAAUGGCCUCACAUACACUCC
Molecule: long non-coding RNA, 562 nt
Organism: Papaver somniferum (opium poppy)
Lineage: Eukaryota; Viridiplantae; Streptophyta; Magnoliopsida; Ranunculales; Papaveraceae
Exons: 3
Source: RefSeq, a predicted model, not a curated record